RNAcentral lists this transfer RNA (69 nucleotides) under Anthocoris kerzhneri. RNAcentral's name for it is "tRNA-Leu". The record is from RNAcentral. Lineage: Eukaryota; Metazoa; Arthropoda; Insecta; Hemiptera; Anthocoridae. RNAcentral also lists the same sequence under 2 other names.
ACUAUUUUGGCAGAAUUUUAAGUGCAAUAAAUUUAGAAUUUAUGAAUGUAAUUUUAUUUACAGAUAGUA